AAAUGGACACAGUUUCUUUUUUGAAUGAUUUUAUUCAUUGUUAGUGGGAUAUAGAUGAAUAUGUAGACCACUGUUUGUUUAUGAUGCUCCUCUUGCUUGAUUGCAGUGGGAAUCGAACCCACGACUUCUGGUUUUCUUACCAACUUGACCCCGUACAUGUAUGGCCCAGUUGGUAGAGCAUUGCACUAGCAAACCAAAGGUCGCAGGUUCAAUUCCCACCGCUGUCAAGCAAACUCUUCUGCUUGCCCGGUGUUAACACACUCAAAGUAACAUCACUACCAGUGUAUGCGACACCUUAUAAUAAUACAAUGUUCUAUCUAUCAGGAUACUAGCAUAUGUAUAUUUUAUUUCUAUUAAUAUUUUUCACACUGAGAACAAUAAAAUGCUGACAUUGCAUUAUUUGAUGAUUGUAGUUUGAUAUCUGAACAGCCAAAUCAUUCUUGCAUUCCCGGGUAUAUUCCUGCAAAAACAUGCAAUAAUUAUAAACAAUAAUUAUACAUAUUCUACAAUAAUUAUAAACCAAUGCCCAACCCCAUCACUCCGUCCCCCUGUCAGGCGCACAAAUCACCAUAAAUUUUUUGUCCUGGUGCACCAACCCUAAGGCCAAAAAAAAAAAUAUGUGGGUUUCCGGUUUCCCGACCCUACCUAGCUUUUGGACGUCGAAAUCCCGACCCUAAACUUUUUUAUUGGAUCACGCUUGUAAGUGUUUCCACUUAGAGGAAAAAGUUUGUGGAAAAUUGAAAUUUGAGGCAAUAUUAGGGAAAUUUAUCUUUGGAUGUGGAAGCACUGACUAAACAAAAUGGCGUCCGGUUGUUCGGAAAAUUAAAAAAAAAGUUUAAAAAAAAAAGUUAAAACCGACCUACCCUACCUAAGUUUUUAUAAGAAGAAACCGGAAACCCACAUAUUUUUUUUUUGGCCUAAGAAUUCAGGGAUCCCUCAGAAAACCUCAUCCCAAUAGCAUGCUGUUUAGAGUUAUUUCCUAUAUUAGACAACCCUUUGGAUAAAUAUUUAUCCAAAAUUUUAAUAAUACACCCUUUCAAUAA
Paramuricea clavata is the source of this 1043-nucleotide non-coding RNA. The record is from the annotation of a GenBank genome assembly. NCBI's taxonomy places the organism in Eukaryota, Metazoa, Cnidaria, Anthozoa, Malacalcyonacea, Plexauridae.